RNAcentral lists this long non-coding RNA (548 nucleotides) under Nicotiana benthamiana. RNAcentral's name for it is "long non-coding RNA (NBEN_LNC003592)". Lineage: Eukaryota; Viridiplantae; Streptophyta; Magnoliopsida; Solanales; Solanaceae. The record is from RNAcentral.
GGGGGCAUGAAUUACCACGAGUACAAAGGGCACUUUAGCAUUUGGGCUUUGAUGAAGGCAAAUCCCCAAUCAAACUCAUAAUUAUGUUUUCUGAGUCCUCUCUCUCUUUUUUUUCUUUUUCUCUUUUUGAUUGUCUGACUGAAUGCUUUUAUCUAAUCCCUUUUCGAAAAAAUUUCUCCUUAGGACUGUUUUAUUUUUCUUUUUGAUUGUCUGACUGAAUACUUGUAUCUAUUCCCUUUUCGAAAAAAUUUCUCCUUAGGACGUCAAAUUUGUGAUGGAACCGCUCUUCAGUGAAAUUGUUUGCUGGUUUAAAUGGUGUAUGUGUGUAAAUGAAAUAAGGAUAAGAAUAGGGAGAUGAACCAGUUUUUAGAAGUUUUAAUGUGUAUAUGUCAUUACUUAAGUCCAUCAUAUUGGAUGUGUUUGUUUAUUCCCCCUUCUAAAAGAAAUUAUCAUGGUACCUAUAUGAGAAAACAACUCGCUUUAUGUUGGGCUAUUCAUGCAAAGAGACAGUGCAGUGGCUUUGUGUGCUUCAACCCUCUUACUUCAUG